UGUCAUUUUUACUCUAGAGUAUCCGCAGUAGGAAAUUUUAAAAUUUGUAUAACUAUUCUGACUCUUAUUGGUAGUUUGAUGAUGUAUUAUGCAAGACAAUUAUGACUAUUUUAUAUUUGGUUAAUUGUAUAUUUGGAUUUGCGGGUUGGUAAGGCUUACUACGGGUUUCGGUGGCCUUAAGCCUACCCAUUCCCUAGUGCCGGUCACGGGCCCCCAG
This 217-nucleotide long non-coding RNA is filed under the name Ricinus communis (castor bean). Its description in RNAcentral is "long non-coding RNA (RCOM_LNC003227)". The record is from RNAcentral. Lineage: Eukaryota; Viridiplantae; Streptophyta; Magnoliopsida; Malpighiales; Euphorbiaceae.